AAACUCAAAUGAAUUGACGGGGACCCGCACAAGCGGUGGAUGAUGUGGUUUAAUUCGAUGCAACGCGAAAAACCUUACCCACCUUUGACAUGUACGGAACCCUUUAGAGAUAGAGGGGUGCUCGAAAGAGAGCCGUAACACAGGUGCUGCAUGGCUGUCGUCAGCUCGUGUCGUGAGAUGUUGGGUUAAGUCCCGCAACGAGCGCAACCCUUGUCAUUAGUUGCUACAUUCAGUUGGGCACUCUAAUGAGACUGCCGGUGACAAGCCGGAGGAAGGUGGGGAUGACGUCAAGUCCUCAUGGCCCUUAUAGGUGGGGCUACACACGUCAUACAAUGGCUGGUACAAAGGGUUGCCAACCCGCGAGGGGGAGCCAAUCCCAUAAAGCCAGUCGUAGUCCGGAUCGUAGUCUGCAACUCGACUACGUGAAGUCGGAAUCGCUAGUAAUCGUGGAUCAGAAUGUCACGGUGAAUACGUUCCCGGGUCUU
This 485-nucleotide ribosomal RNA is filed under the name uncultured Rhodoferax sp. Its description in RNAcentral is "bacterial SSU rRNA". It matches the Rfam family "Bacterial small subunit ribosomal RNA", at positions 897 to 1382 of the family's 1533-position model. Lineage: Bacteria; Pseudomonadati; Pseudomonadota; Betaproteobacteria; Burkholderiales; Comamonadaceae. The record is from RNAcentral.